This 253-nucleotide ribosomal RNA is filed under the name uncultured bacterium. RNAcentral describes it as "partial 16S ribosomal RNA". It matches the Rfam family "Bacterial small subunit ribosomal RNA", at positions 524 to 776 of the family's 1533-position model. The record is from RNAcentral.
UACGUAGGGUGCGAGCGUUGCCCGGAUUUAUUGGACGUAAAGGGCGCGUAGGCGGUCACGCACGUCCGUUGUGAAAUCGCUCGGCUCAACUGGGCGGGGUCAGCGGAUACGGCGUGGCUGGAGCAAGCUAGGGGGCAAUGGAAUUCCCGGUGUAGUGGUGGAAUGCGUAGAUAUCGGGAGGAACACCAGUGGCGAAGGCGGUUGCCUGGAGCUUUGCUGACGCUGAUGCGCGAAAGCGUGGGGAGCGAUCCGG